This 434-nucleotide ribosomal RNA is filed under the name uncultured bacterium. RNAcentral describes it as "partial 16S ribosomal RNA". It matches the Rfam family "Bacterial small subunit ribosomal RNA", at positions 30 to 507 of the family's 1533-position model. The record is from RNAcentral.
AGCGAACGCUGGCGGCAGGCCUAACACAUGCAAGUCGAACGAACCUUCCGGGGUUAGUGGCGGACGGGUGAGUAACACGUGGGAACGUGCCUGUAGGUUCGGUAUCACUCAGGGAAACUUGUGCUAAUGCCGAAUGUGCCCUUCGGGGGUAUGAGUUAUCGCUUCUAGAGCGGCCCGGGUCUGAUUAGCUAGUUGGGUGUGGGAAUGCGUCGCCAAGGCGUGGAGCAGGACCUGGUCCGUGAGGAGGCUCCGCCAGAUUGGGACUGAGACACGGCCCACAACCGGACGGGAGGGAGCAGAGGGGAAUAUAGCGCAAUGGGCGAAAGCCUGACGCAGCCAUGUCGGGUGAAUGAUGAAGGGGUUAGGAUUGUAAAAUUGUUUGAGCGGGGACGAGAAUGACGGUACCCGGAGAAGAAGCCCCGGCUAACUUCGUG